AUACGUAGGUGGCAAGCGUUGUCCGGAUUUAUUGGGCGUAAAGCGAGUGCAGGCGGUCUUUUAAGUCUGAUGUGAAAGCCUUCGGCUUAACCGGAGAAGUGCAUCGGAAACUGGGAGACUUGAGUGCAGAAGAGGACAGUGGAACUCCAUGUGUAGCGGUGGAAUGCGUAGGUAUAUGGAAGAACACCAGUGGCGAAGGCGGCUGUCUAGUCUGUAACUGACGCUGAGGCUCGAAAGCAU
This 240-nucleotide ribosomal RNA is filed under the name uncultured bacterium. RNAcentral's name for it is "partial 16S ribosomal RNA". It matches the Rfam family "Bacterial small subunit ribosomal RNA", at positions 523 to 762 of the family's 1533-position model. The record is from RNAcentral.